Molecule: non-coding RNA, 73 nt
Organism: Nematostella vectensis (starlet sea anemone)
Lineage: Eukaryota; Metazoa; Cnidaria; Anthozoa; Actiniaria; Edwardsiidae
Source: Rfam
GUUUCUGUGGCGCAAUCGGUUAGCGCGUUCGGCUCUUUACCGAAAGGUCGGUGGUUCAAACCCACCAGGGACG